RNAcentral lists this ribosomal RNA (497 nucleotides) under uncultured bacterium. RNAcentral describes it as "partial 16S ribosomal RNA". It matches the Rfam family "Bacterial small subunit ribosomal RNA", at positions 28 to 507 of the family's 1533-position model. The record is from RNAcentral.
GAUGAACGCUGGCGGCGUGCCUAAUACAUGCAAGUCGAGCGAACGGACGAUAAGCUUGCUUCUCUGAUGUUAGCGGCGGACGGGUGAGUAACACGUGGAUAACCUACCUAUAAUACUGGGAUAACUUCGGGAAACCGGAGCUAAUACCGGAUAAUAUUUUGAACCGCAGGGGUCAAAAGUAAGAGACGGUGUUGCUGGCACGUCUAGAUGGUUCCGGGCUGCAUGAGCUAGUUGGUAAGUUAACGGCUUACCAAGGGAGCGAUGCAUAGACGAACUGAGAGGGUGAUCGGCCACACUGGAAGUGAGCCACGGUCCAGACUCCUACGGGAGGCAGCAGUAGGGUAUCUUAGGCAAUGGGGGAAAGCAUGACGCAGCGACGCCGCGUGAGUGAUGACGGUCUUGGGUUCGUAAUACUCUGUUACUAGGGAAGAACAUACGUGUACGUAACUGUGCACAGCUUGACGGUAACUAAUCAGAAAGCAACGGCUAACUACGUG